UACAGAGGGUGCAAGCGUUAUUCGGAAUUACUGGGCAUAAAGAGCGCGUAGGCGGUUCUAUAAGUCUGAUGUGAAAUCCCUGGACUCAAUUCAGGAAGUGCAUCGGAUACUGGUUGGCUUGAAUCCGGGAGAGGGAUGUGGAAUUCCAGGUGUAGCGGUGAAAUGCGUAGAUAUCUGGAGGAACACCGGUGGCGAAGGCGACAUCCUGGACCGGCAUUGACGCUGAGGCGCGAAAGCCAGGGGAGCAAACGGG
This 253-nucleotide ribosomal RNA is filed under the name uncultured bacterium. RNAcentral's name for it is "partial 16S ribosomal RNA". It matches the Rfam family "Bacterial small subunit ribosomal RNA", at positions 524 to 776 of the family's 1533-position model. The record is from RNAcentral.